AUAAAAUUAGUUAAAUAAUAACAUUAAUUUGUCAGAUUAAAGUUAAUAAAUAAUAUUAUUUUAUU
RNAcentral lists this transfer RNA (65 nucleotides) under Anisopteromalus calandrae. Its description in RNAcentral is "tRNA-Asp". Lineage: Eukaryota; Metazoa; Arthropoda; Insecta; Hymenoptera; Pteromalidae. The record is from RNAcentral.